CCUACGGGAGGCAGCAGUAGGGAAUCUUCCACAAUGGGCGAAAGCCUGAUGGAGCAACGCCGCGUGGGUGAAGAAGGUCUUCGGAUCGUAAAACCCUGUUGUUAGAGAAGAAAGUGCGUGAGAGUAACUGUUCACGUUUCGACGGUAUCUAACCAGACAGCCACGGCUAACUACGUGCCAGCAGCCGCGGUAAUACGUAGGUGGCAAGCGUUAUCCGGAUUUAUUGGGCGUAAAGGGAACGCAGGCGGUCUUUUAAGUCUGAUGUGAAAGCCUUCGGCUUAACCGGAGUAGUGCAUUGGAAACUGGGAGACGUGAGUGCAGAAGAGGAGAGUGGAACUCCAUGUGUAGCGGUGAAAUGCGUAGAUAUAUGGAAGAACACCAGGGGCGAAGGCGGCUCUCUGGUCUGUAACUGACGCUGAGGUUCGAAAGCGUGGGUAGCAAACAGGAUUAGAUACCCUUGUAGUC
This 465-nucleotide ribosomal RNA is filed under the name uncultured bacterium. Its description in RNAcentral is "partial 16S ribosomal RNA". It matches the Rfam family "Bacterial small subunit ribosomal RNA", at positions 338 to 795 of the family's 1533-position model. The record is from RNAcentral.